GCUCUCGUCGUCUAAUGGCUAUGAUAUCAGAUUCCUAUAGCCCGUUAAGAUGAUUCUUGGCUAUGAUCUGGGGGUUCCGGGUUCGAAUCCCGGCGGGAGUA
This is a non-coding RNA of Trametes polyzona, 101 nucleotides long. The record is from the annotation of a GenBank genome assembly. NCBI's taxonomy places the organism in Eukaryota, Fungi, Basidiomycota, Agaricomycetes, Polyporales, Polyporaceae.